AUGGAUGAUGCAGGUAAUGAUCAAGAAAAUGAUUUAGAGGAGGUGAUCAUCGGCCAGGACUUCAGAGGGAGCUACCGUUUCUCUGAAGUUGUUGUGAGUUGGGAGCCUGCUCAGGACAAAGGAGGCCGUGAAGACUUCACCCCUUCUGGCAUCAGAGACAAAAAUAUCCUGCACAGUUGGAAAAGGAAAAAACACGACAUAGAAGCCAACUGCAAUGAAACCAGCAAACCCAAACGCCACCGACUGAGCGUGCUUCGCCUGAGUGGAAAGACUGGAAGAGAAGGACCCUCAUCUCCUGCUCAUGUCUACCUGCAGGAAGAUACACUGGGCAGAAGAGUGGGAAGAUCAGCUCCUUCUCAUAUUUGUUUAGGAGAAAAUAUCAAUGAAAGCCAAGAUUUUACGAGUAUUCUCCUCGAUGAUAGUGGGGAGGAUGGAAGAGAAGAACCGGCUCUGGUUCAUGAAAACAGCAAAGAUCUACAUUUGAACAACCUGGACAACAGCAUUGUACAGUUCACUGUGGGAGCUAACAAUCUGACUGAAGUUCUGCUCCCAAUCACUGGGUCCAGUUUAGAGCCUGUAGACGUUCUUGGCAGUCCAGCCAACACCGACCCAACUGAACCCAUUGUACUGUCCAGUGAUGAGGAGGAGGGAGUGAAACGCUGCGACGUUCCUCAACGCUGCAGCCAAAUGGUCCACACACAGGUAUCUAUAGGAGAUGCUGGAAUGUCCCCAGAAGAAGCAAAGCAACAAGAAGAGGUGUCUGAUAGUGAAGACACAGAGGUUGGCAUGUGUUCCUUUAGCAUAUAA
This 807-nucleotide long non-coding RNA is filed under the name Takifugu rubripes (torafugu). RNAcentral's name for it is "lncRNA (ENSTRUG00000033332.1)". Lineage: Eukaryota; Metazoa; Chordata; Actinopteri; Tetraodontiformes; Tetraodontidae. The record is from RNAcentral.